AACGCACAUUGCGCCCGCCAGUAUUCUGGCGGGCAUGCCUGUUCGAGCGUCAUUUCAGCCCUCAAGCCCUGCUUGGUGUUGGGGACCGGCCCGCCGCAAGCCCCCCUCGGCUGGCGGGCCGCCCCCGAAAUGAAUCGGCGGUCUCGUCGCAGCCUCCUCUGCGUAGUAGCCUUGAAAACCUCGCACUUGGAGCGCGACGCGGCCACUGCCGUAAAACGCCCAACUUUAAGAGUUGACCUCGAAUCAGGUAGGAAUACCCGCUGAACUUAA
This 270-nucleotide unclassified non-coding RNA is filed under the name uncultured fungus. RNAcentral describes it as "partial contains 5.8S ribosomal RNA, internal transcribed spacer 2, and large subunit ribosomal RNA". The stretch from base 1 to 52 matches the Rfam family "5.8S ribosomal RNA", at positions 103 to 154 of the family's 154-position model. The record is from RNAcentral. Lineage: Eukaryota; Fungi.